This 504-nucleotide ribosomal RNA is filed under the name uncultured bacterium. RNAcentral describes it as "partial 16S ribosomal RNA". It matches the Rfam family "Bacterial small subunit ribosomal RNA", at positions 30 to 523 of the family's 1533-position model. The record is from RNAcentral.
AUUGAACGCUGGCGGCAUGCCUUACACAUGCAAGUCGAACGGCAGCAUGGAGAGCUUGCUCUCUGAUGGCGAGUGGCGAACGGGUGAGUAAUGCAUCGGAACGUACCGUGUAAUGGGGGAUAACGUAGCGAACGUUACGCUAAUACCGCAUACGACCUGAGGGUUAAAGCAGGGGAUCGCAAGACCUUGCGUUAUACGAGCGGCCGAUGUCAGAUUAGCUAGUUGGUGAGGUAAAGGCUCACCAAGGCGACGAUCUGUAGCGGGUCUGAGAGGAUGAUCCGCCACACUGGGACUGAGACACGGCCCAGACUCCUACGGGAGGCAGCAGUGGGGAAUUUUGGACAAUGGGGGCAACCCUGAUCCAGCCAUGCCGCGUGAGUGAAGAAGGCCUUCGGGUUGUAAAGCUCUUUCGGCCGGGAAGAAAUCGCACAGGCUAAUACUCUGUGUGGAUGACGGUACCGGCAUAAGAAGCACCGGCUAACUACGUGCCAGCAGCCGCAGUAA